Quercus robur (English oak) is the source of this 535-nucleotide long non-coding RNA. RefSeq lists it as uncharacterized. The record is from RefSeq and is a predicted model, not a curated record. The transcript has 2 exons. Lineage: Eukaryota; Viridiplantae; Streptophyta; Magnoliopsida; Fagales; Fagaceae.
GUAUUAGUUUGUUUUAUAUUUUCCUUUUGUUUUUAUGCAAUUAGUAAUGUACUUCAUAUAUUAUAAUUGUUUUCUUAAUUUUGUAAUCACUAUGAAAUUAGAGGGUGGGAGAGAGAGACUAACUCUGACUAUGAUAUAGGUCAAAGAUUAAUGAAAAUGUUGGGCAAUGAUGGUGUCAUCCUUAGAAAGAGCAUGAAAUUCAGUAACUUAUCACUAUGUUUAGCUAUUUGAUUCCAUGAAAUUUCAGGUCAAUUGAGCCACAAGUGAAAGGAAAAGAUUUACUCUGAUUGUGAUAUUGCUUUAAGUCCUUUCUCUUUCGGCCAAAUCAACUUAUAGAUAAAUAUUGACAAAUGGCAGGUUGUUGUUACACAGUUGUCACAAAUCACAAGAAAUAUUGGUUGGGUUUAAAAAUGUGUCUUUGUUUCAACCUAUAUGCAUUAAUUUGAAUGAUAACACACUCUAUCAAGUCUAUGAAAUUCUAUAUGUAUUUUUUUUUUUUGUGAUUUUUUAAAUUUAUGAAAUUCUAUGUCUGGUA